Molecule: ribosomal RNA, 1088 nt
Filed under: uncultured Nitrososphaerota archaeon
Lineage: Archaea; Thermoproteati; Nitrososphaerota
Description: bacterial SSU rRNA
Rfam family: Archaeal small subunit ribosomal RNA
Source: RNAcentral
CGCCCUUUUCCGGUUGAUCCUGCCGGACCCGACUGCUAUCGGAUUGAGAUUUAGCCAUGCGAGUUGAACGUCCCUUGAUUGCAGGGGGCGUAGCAUACGGCUCAGUAACACGUAGUCAACCUGCCCUGGAGACGCGGAUAACCCCGGGAAACUGGGACCAAUCCGUGAUAGGUCGCCCCAUCUGGAAGGAGGGGCGGCCCAAAGGGGAAUUGUGGGCUUCCACUUUUCUCGCUCUAGGAUGGGACUGCGGCCGAUCAGGCUGUUGGCGGGGUAAUGGCCCACCAAACCUGUAACCGGUACGGGCCUUGAGAGAGGCGGCCCGGAGAUGGACACUGAGACAAGGGUCCAGGUCCUACGGGGCGCAGCAGGCGCGAAACCUUCGCAAUGUGCGAAAGCAUGACGAGGUUGAUCCGAGUGGCUUCCGCUGAGGAAGUCUUUUGCCGACUGUAAAAAGGUCGGAGAAUAAGGGGAGGGCAAGUCUGGUGUCAGCCGCCGCGGUAAUACCAGCUCCUCGAGUGGUCGGGGCGAUUAUUGGGCCUAAAGCAUCCGUAGCCGGUUCCGUAGGUCUCCUGCAAAAUCCAGUCGCUCAACGAUUGGCCCGCAGGAGAUACCGCGGGACUAGGAGGCGGGAGAGGUGGACGGUACUCCACGUGUAGGGGUAAAAUCCUUUGAUCCGUGGAAGACCACCAGUGGCGAAGGCAGUCCACCAGAACGCGCUCGACGGUGAGGGAUGAAAGCUGGGGGAGCGAACCGGAUUAGAUACCCGGGUAGUCCCAGCCGUAAACGAUGCUAGCUAGAUGAUCCGAUCGUAAAUCAUGAUCGGAGUGUCGCAGGGAAGCCGUUAAGCUAGCCGCCUGGGGAGUACGGUCGCAAGACUGAAACUUAAAGGAAUUGGCGGGGGAGCACCACAAGGGGUGAAGCCUGCGGUUCAAUUGGAGUCAACGCCAGGAAACUUACCAGGAGAGACAGCAGAUUGAGGGUCGGACUGAAGAUCUUACCUGACGAGCUGAGAGGAGGUGCAUGGCCGUCGCCAGCUCGUGCCGUGAGGCGUCCUGUUAAGUCAGGCAACGAGCGAGACCCAAAGGGCG